Molecule: long non-coding RNA, 1452 nt
Filed under: Lonchura striata (white-rumped munia)
Lineage: Eukaryota; Metazoa; Chordata; Aves; Passeriformes; Estrildidae
Description: domestica (Bengalese finch) lncRNA (ENSLSDG00000001049.1)
Source: RNAcentral
CCCAAAGAAAGUGAACAGAGCUUCAUUGCUUACUCUUUGUCAUGGUUUGACACUGGCACCAUGCCAGUGCCCCCAUGAAAAUGUGAUCCCUACCUUGAAUGCUGUGAAGUGGAAUCUAGAAUAGAGCAAAGCAGGCCCAAGCUUAAUAACAGGAAAAAAACUUUAUUAAACUACUACUACUAAAAGAAAAGAGAAAACUAAAGAAGGGGGAAAAAAAACACACAAAGAUCAAAUGAAAACCUUGCAAAACAUUCCUCCCCCCACCACCCAACUCCAACAAACCACAGUGAGACACAAUCUGGACCCCAGUCAGGUUUCCACCCUCCAAGCAAUCGAUACUCAGUCCAUUGAGGGAACAGAGUCUCUCCUGUGCCACAGACCCCCCAAGAAACACAGCUCCACAUCCUGUGUUUCCAUGUCACACAUGGCACCGCCCGGAGAAAAAGUUUGCCAUGGUGACCCUUCUCCUUUCCAUGCACAGUGCUCUCACCACAAUGCAUGGAUGGUCACUGCCUUUAGGAUUUUUCCUUUCAAGGAUGCCCUGCCAAGAGGGGAGAAAACAACGGUUCAGUUUUUCAUUGUUUGGGACCACAGUCCCCCCCAUUUUCCCCUGGGGCCGAGGGCUCAAGAACAGAGAUCUUCUUCUCUUCUCUUUCCUUUCCAGGGCAAGGGGGCGCCACCACAAACCCCCUAACCUUUUCUCUGUUCACUCCACUUUUGUCUUUUUCCCAGCUGAAGCAGGUCUCUUGACUCACUGGCAUCCUCCCAAAACACAGUCCCUCUUGAAGGAGAAGAUUUGUUUCAGGUUGUGGCUAACACGGAAAAGUCCAGCCAAAAGCCACUCCUUGUCCCCCUCUCAUGUAGAAUUCCUCCUUCCAACAUCCCAUCCCAGGGUCCAAGGUGUCCCUCUUCUUCUCUUUCAAACCGAGGAGGGGAAAGGAAAAUUCACAAAGCUUUCAUUUCUCAAGGAAAGGGUUAAAAGUCCGAACUCCCAGGAUGGCUCGAUGCCCGGACAUCCAGCAACUCCCACACAACUGGGCACCUUGCAGCUCCCCCCGCUCCUCCUUCCUUGCGGCUUUCUCUCUCCCUCUCGGGAGAGGAACUCUGGGGGGGGAAAUGGAGACAUCCCAGAUUUCUUCCACCAUUCCAUCUGCAGGGGCCAGCCCGGUUCCAGUCCUUUCACCACCCUUCGGGCUUUCGGCCUACCUUUCUCAGGCCAUGGGCUUCCCCUGCCCCACCCAGCUCGUGGCUGGGCGGGGGAAGGUCUGCACUGCACGCUGACCGGAACCAAAGAGAGCGAGUUCCCCUGGGAAUUCUGCUUUCAACCCCUCUGUGUUCUCAGAGGCGUGUCUACUUUCAAUUGGUCAAUAUCUAAAUUGACCUCUUCCUUCCGGGAAAAAUUAUCUUUCCGUGUCAAACCACGACACUCUUCCACCUGGCACAAGUGCUAAG